Long non-coding RNA from Paramisgurnus dabryanus, 1017 nucleotides. RefSeq lists it as uncharacterized. The record is from RefSeq and is a predicted model, not a curated record. NCBI's taxonomy places the organism in Eukaryota, Metazoa, Chordata, Actinopteri, Cypriniformes, Cobitidae.
UACUCAUAAUUAUAAGACUUUAGCCUGGAUCAGACAGGAUCACAUAUAUUCAUCACCUAAAUUAUGCCAUGUAUUGGGAGCCAUGUGAUUGGAAAGCUGCCUCAAAAGAUGACCAGUCAAAAACAACAGGUAAAUAAUGAAUCAUUUUGGCUCUGGCCUGAAUCACAGUCAUGCAAAUUUCCUCUCUUUAUAAACUUAGGAGAGAGGCUGAUUAGCAUUCGUACCCUUGCAUAAUGAGUUUGCAAAUAAAGCAGAAUGGGGCCAAGUACGUAGACGUAUUACGCAACUCAGUUUGGAUUAAGUUUGUAUCCCGUUUAACAUCUGCAUAAAUUUAUAGCUAAUGGAAAUGACAUUUAGGCACCAAGAUAAUAGUGGAGACCCUCCAGUAGACCACUGCAAUUUAUUUUAAUUAACAGUAUACAAAACUUUUACUGCAUUUUACAGCCAAUUCAAUUUUUUUCAUUAAUAUCAUGUAUAGUUCAGAUAUUGUUUCACCAAUUUUAUCUUAAUAUCAGUAAUUUCUCCAAUAAGUGUACAUUACAAGAGAAAUUCAUUGUAUUUGUAUAUAUUUUAUAGUUUUUUGUUGAAAUGUUAAUAUAAAUAGUGUAACUGUAAUCCUACCUUGUUGUCACACAUCCUGUUUUAUAUUUGAUACAGGAAGGUAAACUCCAGAAGAGGGCCAAAGCUGCAACACUAAAAUAAACCAAAACAUCGUUGGGCAGAUGUUCAUUCGCGUGGCUCGCUAAAAGUCGAGAUGAAUUCGUGCAGCUCUGCAACGCCAAGCAAGGGACAAAUAUAUCCAUCCCAAAUGUUCUCGGCAGAAUGUGAAGGAAAGCGCAGACUGUACGCUCUGAACCAAGACCCACGCCAGCAGCUGUGACCACGAGGAGCUCCAGAAGAAUACAGAACACAAGACCAAACAGGUGCAUGCUGACAGAAGAAGAGCUACAGACUGAGACACAUCCACGGUUUCCAGACAAGACUGAGAGAAACUAGCUUCAGGUAUUUUGAUUCCUC